UACGUAGGUGGCAAGCGUUGUCCGGAUUUAUUGGGCGUAAAGAGCUCGUAGGCGGCUUGUCGCGUCGACUGUGAAAUCCCGCGGCUCAACUGCGGGUCUGCAGUCGAUACGGGCAGGCUAGAGUUCGGUAGGGGAGACUGGAAUUCCUGGUGUGGCGGUGAAAUGCGCAGAUAUCAGGAGGAACACCGGUGGCGAAGGCGGGUCUCUGGGCCGAUACUGACGCUGAGGAGCGAAAGCGUGGGGAGCGAACAGG
RNAcentral lists this ribosomal RNA (253 nucleotides) under uncultured bacterium. RNAcentral describes it as "partial 16S ribosomal RNA". It matches the Rfam family "Bacterial small subunit ribosomal RNA", at positions 524 to 776 of the family's 1533-position model. The record is from RNAcentral.